UACGAAGGGUGCAAACGUUGCUCGGAAUUAUUGGGCGUAAAGCGCACGUAGGCGGCCCAGCAAGUCGGAAGUGAAAUCCCACGGCUCAACCAUGGAAGUGCUUUCGAAACUGCUGGGCUUGAGUACAAAAGAGGAUCGCGGAAUUCCCGGUGUAGAGGUGAAAUUCGUAGAUAUCGGGAGGAACACCAGUGGCGAAGGCGGCGAUCUGGGUUGAUACUGACGCUGAGGUGCGAAAGCGUGGGGGGCAAACAGG
This 253-nucleotide ribosomal RNA is filed under the name uncultured bacterium. RNAcentral describes it as "partial 16S ribosomal RNA". It matches the Rfam family "Bacterial small subunit ribosomal RNA", at positions 524 to 776 of the family's 1533-position model. The record is from RNAcentral.